UUGUUUACAAAGGCUGAGCAUUUACCUGAGGCCAUGAGAUAAUCAACAUUCAAGGCAUGGCAAUUCAUGUUUUGGAGGGUUUUGAGGAAAAUAGAUUACAUAGGUCUGGUUGUACCUUGGAGGACCAGUCCAGAACAGAAAGGAUUUUGAAGAUAGAGAAAUCUGUGAAUAUUGGCACUGAGCAAAAGUUUCUUUACCAAGAUUCAUUAGAGAAGAGUCCAUUUUACCAGUUUCUAGUAUGUGGCUUAUAUUCUAAAAACUAAUUGUAGACCAUUUUUGUAACUUCUCUACGUGAGUUUUCAAGUUUUGUAUGGGAUAACUUUUUUAAAUGCCUUUGGAAAUAGAAAUUAGGAGGCUGGCACAUGUUCUUCAAGAGAAUAAGCAAUUGACCUUUAUCCCAUUUAACCAAAUAACAUAUAAGAAAGCGUUUGAAUUGCCAAGGAACUCUCAGAAUAGAAUGAAAGGGUUGGACUUGUAGAAAUUUAUAGACAUCUAUAUCGAUGUAUGCAAUACAGAUAGUUAUCACCGUUGAGAUGUGUAUCAAAGCUUAUGGGCCAGUCUUCCGGGAACUUUUUUUCAAGAUGGCCGACGGCACUACAAGGAAAUCACUUUUUUUGCCUUUCCACCUUCCUUUUUUUUCUACAGCAGACAAGUUGGCAGGAGCUUCAGCAGCUAGCUUGGAUCCUGAGUAGACACGAGGCUGGAGGUCAGGAGCUCCACAUAAUGAAGAAAAAAGAUGGCACAAACUUAAAUCUCUGAUAACCACAGAGCUACCUACCAUCCCAGCUCUGGACUGUCCCCAGUAGGCUUCUUUUACUGGAGAGAAAAAUCAAACUUGAUCUUGUUUAAGCCACUUAUUUGAGUUUUCUGUCAAAAGCAGCUAAACCUGAUAUGUCGUAUCUUUAACAAAACUGGGCCAAUGAGAGAGAGACUGAGAAGGCUGUGUGUUUCAAGUAAUAUAGGAGAUUCUAAUACUUGGUAUCUGAGUGUUCUAAUCAGCUGGGUUUACUGGGUAAAAGGAACAGAAGGGAUAUGGAUAUCAGCUCAAUAAAGUCCUGCUGGGUGAAUGCCAUUGGAUUCCUAGGGGCAGGUGCUGUCUUAGGUCCUUUUGCUGGAAAACAGUUUGAGGUGGAGAUUUGCAUGCAGUAGGGAAGGAAACAGGAUUAGGCGGAAGAGCUGAGCUGCAGAGCAGUCCCAAAAGAGUGCUCAGGAUCUGUUGAAAAGUUCUGGAGCUGAGGCAGCCUUGCAUGUGUUAGGCUGUGUCAUGACAAGGGAGCUGUGUCUUUUUAUCCCCGCAUUAGCCAGUCACUGGAUGUGAGCUGCCCCUGGAGGGGAGGCCUGAACUUGCAGGCGGAAACACCAUCCUGCCCAGGGCAGUGCUCAGA
Molecule: long non-coding RNA, 1385 nt
Organism: Acinonyx jubatus (cheetah)
Lineage: Eukaryota; Metazoa; Chordata; Mammalia; Carnivora; Felidae
Exons: 3
Source: RefSeq, a predicted model, not a curated record